AGUGAACGCUGGCGGUAGGCCUAACACAUGCGAGUCGUACGGCAGCACAGUAAGAGCUUGCUCUUACGGGUGGCGAGUGGCGGACGGGUGAGGAAUACAUCGGAAUCUACUUUUUCGUGGGGGAUAACGUAGGGAAACUUACGCUAAUACCGCAUACGACCUACGGGUGAAAGCAGGGGAUCUUCGGACCUUGCGCGAUUGAAUGAGCCGAUGUCGGAUUAGCUAGUUGGCGGGGUAAAGGCCCACCAAGGCGACGAUCCGUAGCUGGUCUGAGAGGAUGAUCAGCCACACUGGAACUGAGACACGGUCCAGACUCCUACGGGAGGCAGCAGUGGGGAAUAUUGGACAAUGGGCGCAAGCCUGAUCCAGCCAUACCGCGUGGGUGAAGAAGGCCUUCGGGUUGUAAAGCCCUUUUGUUGGGAAAGAAAAGCAGCAGGUUAAUACCCCGCUGUUCUGACGGUACCCAAAGAAUAAGCACCGGCUAACUUCGUG
RNAcentral lists this ribosomal RNA (492 nucleotides) under uncultured bacterium. RNAcentral's name for it is "partial 16S ribosomal RNA". It matches the Rfam family "Bacterial small subunit ribosomal RNA", at positions 29 to 507 of the family's 1533-position model. The record is from RNAcentral.